Molecule: non-coding RNA, 112 nt
Organism: Acanthosepion pharaonis
Lineage: Eukaryota; Metazoa; Mollusca; Cephalopoda; Sepiida; Sepiidae
Source: the annotation of a GenBank genome assembly
UAUGGUCAUAUCAUGUUGAAACAUCGGUUCCCAUAUAAUCACUGAAGUUAAGCAACAUUGAGCCUGGUCAGCACCUAGAUGAGUGACUGCUUAGGAAUAACACAUGCUGUAA